This 600-nucleotide ribosomal RNA is filed under the name Massilia sp. MY-CA98. RNAcentral describes it as "bacterial SSU rRNA". It matches the Rfam family "Bacterial small subunit ribosomal RNA", at positions 86 to 682 of the family's 1533-position model. Lineage: Bacteria; Pseudomonadati; Pseudomonadota; Betaproteobacteria; Burkholderiales; Oxalobacteraceae. The record is from RNAcentral.
UGGCGGCGAGUGGCGAACGGGUGAGUAAUACAUCGGAACGUACCCAGAAGUGGGGGAUAACGUAGCGAAAGUUACGCUAAUACCGCAUACGAUCUACGGAUGAAAGUGGGGGACCUUCGGGCCUCAUGCUUUUGGAGCGGCCGAUGUCUGAUUAGCUAGUUGGUAGGGUAAAGGCCUACCAAGGCGACGAUCAGUAGCUGGUCUGAGAGGACGACCAGCCACACUGGAACUGAGACACGGUCCAGACUCCUACGGGAGGCAGCAGUGGGGAAUUUUGGACAAUGGGCGCAAGCCUGAUCCAGCAAUGCCGCGUGAGUGAAGAAGGCCUUCGGGUUGUAAAGCUCUUUUGUCAGGGAAGAAACGGUUCCGGCUAAUAUCCGGGGCUAAUGACGGUACCUGAAGAAUAAGCACCGGCUAACUACGUGCCAGCAGCCGCGGUAAUACGUAGGGUGCAAGCGUUAAUCGGAAUUACUGGGCGUAAAGCGUGCGCAGGCGGUUUUGUAAGUCUGAUGUGAAAUCCCCGGGCUCAACCUGGGAAUUGCAUUGGAGACUGCAAGGCUAGAAUCUGGCAGAGGGGGGUAGAAUUCCACGUGUAGCAGU